GGCCUCGUGGCCUAAUGGAUAAAGCGUCUGACUUCGGAUCAGAAGAUUCCAGGUUCGAGUCCUGCCGGGGUCG
This 73-nucleotide transfer RNA is filed under the name Danio rerio (zebrafish). It matches the Rfam family "tRNA". Rfam says of the family: Transfer RNA (tRNA) molecules are approximately 80 nucleotides in length. Their secondary structure includes four short double-helical elements and three loops (D, anti-codon, and T loops). Further hydrogen bonds mediate the characteristic L-shaped molecular structure. tRNAs have two regions of fundamental functional importance: the anti-codon, which is responsible for specific mRNA codon recognition, and the 3' end, to which the tRNAs corresponding amino acid is attached (by aminoacyl-tRNA synthetases). tRNAs cope with the degeneracy of the genetic code in two manners: having more than one tRNA (with a specific anti-codon) for a particular amino acid; and 'wobble' base-pairing, i.e. permitting non-standard base-pairing at the 3rd anti-codon position. The record is from Rfam by way of RNAcentral. Lineage: Eukaryota; Metazoa; Chordata; Actinopteri; Cypriniformes; Danionidae.